AUUGGGGGUUGCGUCCUCAACGUCAUCAGCGCUUACGCGCCGCAAGCGGGCUUAGACGAGGAGGCUAAGAGGCAUUUUUGGGAGGACUUGGAUGAUCUGGUGAGUAGUAUUCCCCAAUCUGAGAAGUUAGUUAUUUGAGGGGACUUUAAUGGUCAUAUCGGGGCUGAUGCUGGUGGCUAUGAUGAGGUGCCCGGUGGCUUCGGCUUUGGGGUUAGGAAUGGAGGAGGCACUUUGCUGCUUGAUUUCGCCAGGGAUUCCGAGCUUCUGAUUGCGAACUCGACAUUUCAGAAGAGGGAGGAGCAUUUGGUCACCUUCAAUAGUUUGGCGGCGAGGACUCAGAUUGAUUACCUCCUCCUCAGAAGGAGCGAUAAGGGUAUGUGCAAGGACUGCAAGGUUAUUCUGGAAGAGUCCUUUUUCGACUCUUCAUAGACACCUGGUGAUGGAUGUCGGUCUCUGGGUGAAGAGGAAGAGGAGGGGUGCUCGGGGACAACCGCGGAUUAAAUGGGGUGUUUUGACUAAGGAGAAAGCAUAGGAGUUGGAGAGGAGGUUAGCUGAGGGCGGAACUUGGAGAAGUUCUGGGGAAGCGGACGCUAUGUGGUCGGAGACGGCGAACUUGGUUAGGGAGGUAGCACGGGAUGUGCUCGGGUAUUUGGUCACCUUCAAAGGUUCGGCGGCGAGGACUCAGAUUGAUUACAUCAUCAUCAGAAGGAGCGAUAGGGGUAUGUGCAAGGACUGCAAGGUUAUUCCGGGAGAGUCUCUUU
This 761-nucleotide long non-coding RNA is filed under the name Nicotiana benthamiana. RNAcentral's name for it is "long non-coding RNA (NBEN_LNC015198)". Lineage: Eukaryota; Viridiplantae; Streptophyta; Magnoliopsida; Solanales; Solanaceae. The record is from RNAcentral.